CCUACGGGAGGCAGCAGUGAGGAAUAUUGGUCAAUGGGCGCGAGCCUGAACCAGCCAAGUAGCGUGAAGGAUGACUGCCCUACGGGUUGUAAACUUCUUUUAUAAAGGAAUAAAGUGAGGCACGUGUGCCUUUUUGUAUGUACUUUAUGAAUAAGGAUCGGCUAACUCCGUGCCAGCAGCCGCGGUAAUACGGAGGAUCCGAGCGUUAUCCGGAUUUAUUGGGUUUAAAGGGAGCGUAGAUGGGUUGUUAAGUCAGUUGUGAAAGUUUGCGGCUCAACCGUAAAAUUGCAAUUGAUACUGGCGGUCUUGAGUACAGUUGAGGUAGACGGAAUUCGUGGUGUAGCGGUGAAAUGCUUAGAUAUCACGAAGAACUCCGAUGGCGAAGGCAGCUUACUAAACUGCCACUGACAUUGAUGCUCGAAAGUGUGGGUAUCAAACAGGAUUAGAUACCCCUGUAGUC
RNAcentral lists this ribosomal RNA (460 nucleotides) under uncultured bacterium. RNAcentral's name for it is "partial 16S ribosomal RNA". It matches the Rfam family "Bacterial small subunit ribosomal RNA", at positions 338 to 795 of the family's 1533-position model. The record is from RNAcentral.